GUCUAUUUUCUCUCAUUUUGUCUACUAUCAAAAACCAUGUAUUGGCUAUAUUUUAUCUACUCUUUCUUUAUCAUAUUAUUUCUUGUCACUUCAUUCAUCCACCUAAGCAUUCUCGUCACUGCUAUAAACUCAUUCUUUAUUCUAUUUUUCUGUAUACCGCCCAACAAUUUAAACAGUCUAAACGAGACAUUAUCUCAACAAGUUCUUCUAGAACUUACUCUUUAGUUUCAUUGAAUUUGCUUGUUACAUAAAACAUCUGCCACUUCUUUCCAUUUUUUCCAACCACAAUUAAUCCUAUGUUUCGUAACCACAUAAAAGCCACCGUUAUGGUGUACCAAAGAGCCUGGGUACUUACAACUCUCAACCUCGCUUAUUAUGUCACCGUUUAUUGUCGUUGGCUGUCUUUUCUUGUUUCUCAAAACCCAUAUUCUGUUUUACUACUAAUCCUUUUAAGUGCUACUCUCCAUUUCUCAAGCCUAUUGUUAACUUAUUCCAGAUUUUCUCCUAUCAAAUCUAUACCAUACAAAAAUCAUUCACCAUAGUAUCUCCUCUCACCCGUUUACCCCGUACACAUCCGACAAUGUCCCAUCAUAGGUAUUGUUUAGAACUCAUCGUACUAUUCGACAGAAUUUUACAUAUAAAAAAAAUAUACACCUACGGGUGUUACCAAGUACUUAACACAUUGCAGUAUCUAUUGCUCAUAAGCGCAAACCCGUCCGUGUUCCUUUUACGUUUUCUUUCCGAUUUCUCCCCCAAAUAAGGUCCAAAGUUGAACAAAAAAAAAAAAAAUGGGUCUUUCGUCUUGUUUUGAAAAUAGUUUUGGCACGCUAGAGUUCAUAGAUUUCGGCCUAUCUCACUGUACGUCGUCUAAACGCACGUGUAUGUGUAAUUUUUAUGUCAUAUUUAUUAUAUCUCGUUUUUUAAAUUCUCGUAUUAUUCUUACGGAGUAUUUAUUUAUUCAUAUUUCGUUCAAAAAAAAUUUAUUACAAUACGCUUAUAGGAAAUUUUUCAGGCAUUCAAAUAUUAACAAUAAUAAUAAAAAAAAAAAAAAAAAAACAAAAAAAAAAUAAUAGUAAUAAUAAUAAUAAUAACAAUAAUCAUAGUAAUAAGGGCAUUGCUAACAAUAUUAUUAUAUUAGUGUCCGUAUAAGUGUUUUGCUUGUUUGUUUGUUUGUAUAAGGUAUUUUAUUCGAUUUAUAUAUUAUUAAUUAAUGCGUUUGAGAUAAAUUGGUUUAUUUUAGUCAUUUUUUUCUCGCGGGAAUUUUGUAGACAGAAAUUAAACAGGUAGUCCCACGUUUUAUAAUUAUAAUAUAAUAUAAGACUACAUUAAAAAUAUUUACAAAUUUAUCAGCUAUGUUCAUAAUUAUUACUAUUUUAUUUUUUCAUUAAAAACGAAUAGCUAAAAACAAUGAUUAUUUAAAAAUAGAAAAACAAUUAACAGUAUUUAUUGAAAUUUCGCUUAAAUUAUGAAAAAAAUGUAGAUAUUAUUCGUGUUUAUCUUAAAAUUUUGUUUCGCUGAAAAAAAAAAUGUCGAUUUUUAUGUACUUUUAUUUACAAAAUGUAUAAUAAUAAUAAUAAUAAUAAUAACACCUAACAGUUAUGAUAUUGUAUAAUAUAAUAUUUGAUUUAUAAUAAUCAUUUAUAAUUUACGAUUAUAAUGUUCUAUUAUAUUAUCGACACGAUUUUCACCAUAUUAUGUAAAAUGAUAUUAUUUGGGAUCAUACUUACCCGACAAUUUUCACUUGUUUUAUUAUUUAUAUAUGCACACAUUAUAGUAUUUAUUAUGUUUAAAAAUCAAUUUAAAUAAAACGCAUUAUAGCCAAUUUAAAAAAAAAAAUGUCGUAUGUAUGUUCAGUGUUCAUAUACCUAUACAUAUAUAUAUAUAUAUAUAUAUACAUAUAUAUAUGUAUGUAUACACGUUAUAUUCAAAACAAAGUUUGAUUGAAUAGGUGUCAGGUGUCAGGCUCGGGAUAUGAUUAUCGUAACCUAUAAUGUGAUGUCUCUCUUUAAGAAAAAAAAAAUAUACAUAAUAAACAUGGUUAAACACCAAACCAAGAAAAAUAUUUGCUAAUAUUCGCUAUUAAUAUAUUCGUGUAUUGUCCUCAAAUAAAUCAAUAGUAUUGCGAUGCAAAGCGAUAAUAUCGAUAUUACCGACAGUAUAAACGGUCACCCGAUUAUAGUUCAUGCGGUGUUGCGCCGAUCGCGUUGUUGGACCGGCGGUAACGUGACGGCAGCAGAGAAAGACGCCACCUCAAUCCGAAACAGGUCGAUAAAAAACAUUGACGGUGUACAAUUGUUAUAGCGUCGCGCCGUCCACGCUGCGCGCGUUUCGCGGACACGCGUUAUAACGGGCCGGAAUCGGUUAUUCCGCGUUUUUCGCGACUGUUCGCGAAAUUCGAAAACGAAUUUGAUUGCAUUUUAAUAGCCACCUAAUGACGUACGACUCUACCGCUUGUCUAUCGCCGGAUACCGCAUUGAUGGGGAACGGCGGCUUGUGCCCGAUGUUUGCGAGAAGAGGUACGGGGAAACGGUACAAAAGACCGGGGGCGGAAACCCCUCCAAAGAACAAAUUCUCACUAUUCUUUCACGGCCUUCCGAUUUUUAAGCGCGGCACAUUUUCUGAAAGGAAAUCGGUGGGAUGGGAAACUUUAAGGCUUUGAGGUGGUCAUUUUCUCAAGAUUCUUCUGAUAAAAAUGUGAAAAACCAAAAAAAAAAAAAAAAACUGAGGAAAAACGGGAAAAUUUACGAAAUAUACUUAUAAAAUAUUGCGUUUUUUUUAUUUUUUUAUUUUGUGGACAACUUUUCUACCAGCAAUUUUGUUCAGAUUUACAAUAAUAGCACUUUUCCUAAACGAAAAUCUGAGUGGGUAUGAACAUUAGGGAGGUAAUUUUUCGCAGAUUCUUCUAGUGAAUCGAAAUUUGUCUUAUUAUAAAUUAAACAAUGAAUAAUAUAUUCACCGUUCACUUUUUACGAUAGCGUAAAUAAAUAAAAAAAAAAAAAACUUAUGUUUAUCAAACCUAGAUACCACCCCAUAUAUUUUAUCCUGAAGGGGAAGCAGAAUGGCUAUUUCUUAUGGACGAAUAUGAUGUAUUAGACUGCAGGGAAGCUAGACAAAAAUAUAAGGAUUAGGUUUAAUGGAUUUUCGUUUUGAAAACAGAUUUUGAUUGAUUAUAAUAAGUAUAACAGAUUCUGAUAGAGGUGAUUAUAUUUUUUUUUAUUUAUGUUCUUCGUUGUAACACAGAGCAAUGGAAUAUCUAUUUUGGAAUAACUAAAGUCACCUGCUUCAAAACCUAUACACCUCUUCAAUCAAUCAAUUCAAUUCCGUCAAUUCCGUUUUAAUAUUAAAAUUCGUCAAACCCAAACCUAGUAUUGACUAGUUUUUCAAUCCGAAUACCAUUUUUUUUUCUCUUUUUUUUUCAACGACUGUAAUUUCCUACAAAAAAAUAUUCGCUUGUCUAAAAUUAGGUAAUAUUUAAAAAGUUUUUAUCUUUACCGUCCGUCGUCUAUUUAGGGUGUUAACAUAUUAUGUUUGACCCGCCGCCGUUUAGGUCUUUAGAUUGUUCGACAAACUUCGAGAUUAUAAAAAUACUACAAUAUUGUUUAAAUUACCCUCGUAAAACCCUGAAAAUUUAUUUAUUUAAAAUUAUUCGUGUUAAUAAAUACGACAGACAAAUAAAAGUAACGCAAUUAUCUAUUUGUUGGCAACACAGUGGCGCACUGUUAAGAUGUUAUCAAUUAAUGUAACCGUAUGUGUACUCUCGAGGGAGACGAAUGUAGAUUGUAUUGGUGUCGCAGGGAAAAUGGAAAAAGGCUAAAAAUUAAAAUAACUAAAAUGUGUGGUCGAUGAGUGAAUAUACUUUUGUAAACCACGCGCCUUCUCAAAAUUCCAGUAAAUAUAUGAACUUGUGUGUUUUAUAACAAUUUGUAAUGUAAUGUCUGAAGUUCCCCUCCUGUAAUAAAUUUGACACCUACUUAAUAAGAGGCCGUCACGAAAACGGCUUUGAAAUCUGAUUUUAGAAAUGCGAUGAGUUUAGACAGUAACGUGUUGAUAAAUUUGCCACCCGGGGGAUCAAAUAUUUAGUUAUAUUGAGUUCGUCUCCUUGACUACUCUCCUGCUAAACCUUAUUAUAUUUCCGAAAAAACAAUUAAUAAUAAUCAUAAAUCACAUUGCUAUACAUAUUCUAAUUUUUGCCAAAAAACCAUAAAUUAUUUCUUCAAGUAUCGAGAAUAUUUUACGUACAAUUCAUUUAAAAUUUGUUUUUUCGCAUUUAAAGCUGCCAGUUCGUUAGUAAUUAUUCCGGUUCACGUUCCGUGAUGAUCAGUUGUCUAUAGACGUAAAAUCUGCAUAAAAGCGUAAAAUAAAAUAUGUAUAAAAUGUAUAAAUAUUAUAUUUUAGUCAUUCUUAUAAUUUCGUAAGCCGUAGAAUUGUGCACGAAACACGCACCUUCAAAACUUUACCGGCCGAAAACAUUCGACGCCCGGGACAACUGCCGCUUUUUAACCUUCCCCUCUUCACACGGAACCGGGUCGGGUGUAACGUAUUAUCGGUGCGUAUCGGCGUCACGGGGAACCUUAAAAAGACAAAAAGAAAAAGGCGCGCGGUACUUUCGUGAAGCUCCGCACGCAAAAAAAAUUCCUAUAUGCGCCGCCGAUACAUGGUUGUGCGCACGACCGUUAUUCGACGACGUGAGUCAGAUACGUAAAAAAUAAAAUCAAUCGUUACACGUAAACCGCGAAAGACCGCAGUAGCCAAUAAUAAUAUGUCUUGUCGAGAACGCGCAUAAUAUAAAUACGAGGUGUAAAACUCGUUAUGCCUUAAAAAGCGAUCCGCCGCACAAUAAUCGUAAAUAUUGAAAAUUCGCCGUAAUAAAAUGCACUCGGAGUCUAACACGCCGUGAAUUCUCCGAGUGAGAGAACUAUAAUAUUAUGUUAAGUAUAUCCACGCCAGUAGAGCCGCCUAUUUUGCAAUAAUUUAUUGUUAUUUUUUGUAUCAUUCUGACCGCCCCGCCCCGCCACACCAGUGCAUAAUUGUAUUCCUUCAGAGAUCGCGGGACAACGUAACGGGACAACCAGCGCCGUCGAUAGGGUCGGGCAUACUGGACAUUUGUGCUCAGUCACGCGCUCCGUAAAAGGCCUCGUGCGCAUUAAAAAUGCUCAUAUUAGCCCUAUCCGUACGCGGUAAAAUUUUCAAAUUGUUUUGACCGUUUUUGAGUUGACUAUUUGGUUUUAUUUUCCACCGAAAUUUUUGAAGUAUAUUUAUAUUGUUAUAAUACAACAAGGUCUAACUACAAGUUCAUGGAUUAAAAAUAUUUUAACCUCCCCCCUCACCCGGAAAGUUUACCCCGAAUACGUGUUCGGUUAUGGUUUACAGACUCGAAAACUAUAGUCGUUCGAUUUCGCUGAAAGUUGCACAGUUUGUCCUCGUUGGUUUCAGAUGGUUUUUAGUGAGCGGUGUCGGUUUAGAUCGGAAAUUUGACUGCUAAAAUUGAGACUCAAACGAAAAAAAUGUAUACUAAAAAGUUUCGAUAAUUGCACUUUUUGUUCUCGUUUAUUUCCAGUAUCUGUUGGUAACACCUGGGCGGGGAUAAUAUUUUUAUGUUAAUCAAUUGUUUCCACUGGAAGGUACGGUUUUAUUUCAUUUUUAAAAUUCGUUCUCGUUCAAUACUGCGACACGGGCAAGGGCGGAUCAUGCAGAUAGUAUAUUUUAUGUCACACAAUUUUCAGAUCAGUUUAGUAACAUAAUCUCAAAUUUCAUAAGCGAUGUUUCAAUUUCUCGAAAAAGGGGAACAUUUUAUGAGGUCAAUUUCCGCUCGCCCCUCGCUAUACACAAGGCGAAUUAUUUUUAAACAAAAAUUGUUGAAACCUGAUGCAAUUGCAUACAAUUUCUAUAAAAAAAAAAAAAAUUAAAAAAACGCCCGUUUCAAAAUUAAGGAAACUGUUAAAUAUUUCGAUAUUUGAUAUUAUAUUUCAUUCGCAUUUUUACACUCCCGUCAGGCAUCGUCGUACCGCGUUUAUAUUAAAUAACUCGGUCGACCUUCCGCAUUCACUUCGCGUAGUCCGAUAUAAGCUCUAUACCCAACUUAAUACUUUGAAGUUUAGGUCGACAUAAUAUUAUUAAUAUUCUACCCGAACCGCGAUGAUAAACUUCAGUUUAAUUACCGUAUUCCGAGGUCUAAAUAUUAAUAAACCUACCUAAUACUUCGGUUAUACAUUUAUUACCAGAACCAUUCGAGUAGAUGAAGAAGAUUAAUUAUAUUAUUCUCAUUUUACCAACGCGCAUCACGAUUUUAUCAAAUUGAAACCAAUACGAUCCUUUUUUUUUACAUAUGUCGAGCUAUCCCAGAAUAAAGGGGUCCAGGGACGAUCAUAAAUCCCAGUUUUUACAAACAAUAUAUAAGUUCGUGGUUAUUAACUAUACAUUUUAUCAUUAACUUAGUUUUUUUUUUUUUUUUUAUAUCUUUUCGCAUUCAAUAACUUUUCGUUGAUGGCCUUUAGUGAAAAUUAUUAGAUCUCUAAAUUACAUAUUGUUUUAAUUUUUCUAAAACUUAUUACCAAUAAAUAGGUUCUAUAAAAUACAAUUUUUAUUUUUAUUUUAAUUCUUUCUAAGGGCUUCAUUAAAAAGUUUGGCUGUAAAUGUCUGGGCUUGAUGUCGAGCAAAAACUAUUUAAAAUUAAUAUUCUGCUUUAAACCCACCGUAGAAGUUUCCAAUCGCGCAAUGGUUAUCAUUGUUUUAAAAUAACCUUCUACUACAGUUACGAUGUCAAAAACGAUAUUGUCUUUCAUCUGUUAAAACAAUGUUCAAUUGUUUACAAGGCGCGUAAAACCGACGACGUUUCAACAAAUUUGAAAUACCGGAUGACACAUACUAAUAUUAUAAGCAGCAGCUAUACAAGGGCCGAAACGUUGCGGUUGUGUGGUAAUUAUUGGAUUAUAACGACCGCUAUUGGUAUUGCGCUGUUUUAUGCGCCAAAAUAUAUAUAAUUUAAUGUCUAUAAUUAUUUUGACCCGUAUGGACGUAUAGAUAUAUUUACUAUUACAGACAGUUUUAUCCCUUCGAUUCACGCGAUAAUCACAUCAAAUAAUGUGUACGGACUCGAUUGUAAUUAUGUUUUCCUCGUGAAAAUUUAAUACGUCGCAACGGCGGCGUAUUAGUGAUGUCCUCAUCGAAAACAAUCCUAAAUGAAAAAUAGUCUAUAUAUAUACACAUACAAAUCAAUUAUCUCGACUUGUGACUUUAUCGUGGAUCAUAUUUUCAUUAUCGUCUAUGCACAGUGCACUCUAAAAUAUUUCAGAUUCUGAAUGGAUGAACGAAGAAGGUUAUGGUUUUACAAGGAUGUUUAUUUAUUUAUUUUUUUUAACGGACGACUUUUCUAAUAAACAUUUUGUUCCGAUUUUUAAGUGUACCUUUUCUGAAAGGAAAUCGAUGUACAGGGGUACUUUAAAGUGGUCAUUUUUCGAUUUUCGAUAUGACAUAAAUAUUGUUGACAAAGCAUCUCUAUCAACCGAACUGCUCUCAGAAUCGUUUUUCGUUAGCAAUAGCUUAUUGUUGCUUACGGAUAUUCAUUGAAUUCCCUUCUGUAUAUUAUCUUUCCAACUUUCCACCUACAACAGUGUCUGCACCCGUCCUCAUUAUCUUAGGACAAAAUAUAUAAAAAUAUUUAUUAUGUUUUGCUUUUAGAACAGUUAGGUAGGGGCUGUGGAAAUGAAAAUAAAAUUCAUAAAAAUAAUCUAUCUUUCUAUCCAUCUAUCUGUCCUUCUACAAUAUUAAUCCGGGCUUAAGGUUAGAGAGGAUGAGGGAUAGGAUGACUGGAGUCUCCCUUUUUGUUUAUGAUUAAUUUCUUAGUUAUUCUCACUGAGGUAUUUUUAAUGAAACCUUAAAAAUUCAAAUUAGUUUUAUUCAAAAACAAUAUUUACUGAGGAAGCAUAUAAGUGUGUAUGUGUAUGUAGGAUAAAUAUUUAACUUAUUAUUUUUGGCGUGUUGGGGGGGGGUGCAGUUUACGUAUAAACAUUUGUAUAAACAAACGUGUUGGAGAAAAGCAUUUGGGAAGUUUUUAACCCAUAUAGGUUUCCUGGAAAUUUGGUUGGAUUUUCAGAAAUACCCUUCAAUGUUUAGUUAAUAUAGUCUCCCCUCGGAGUGUUUUUCACUUUAACCACUGGUAUCAAGUAAUUUGUCAAAACAACCCUUCGAUAGCGGUACCUUCCGAAUACGGGCGAAUUAGUCGCCGUGAUUACUUUACUACAAAAGAUAGUCCCUCAACGAGGAGCGAGAUCCCGUGGCUAAAUUUUCAUUUCGGCGGCGGGUUUCAAUUUCAUUAUAGUAUAACAUUAUGGCCUAUUUAAAAUAAUUAAAAUCGUUCAUUAUAUUUGACAUUUUUAAAAUUUUUUUUUUCCCGUUAUAAUCAAUCGCCGUGUUAAUACGACGUAUGAUGCACGAAUAUCUUAUUUUAAUAACAUGCGUUUACCCGCUAUUAUUUAGCAAACCGCUGUGCGAAAUACUUGCGCAGGUCAGCUAUGGUGUAAUAAUAAUAUUAUAAUAACAGACAUCACAUUAUAGUAAUACCGAUACGAGGUUAUAUUUACACAGUUAGGACAAAUGAUUAAAUUUCACAUAUCAACGCAAUUGUAUAUUUAAUUAUGUCUUCUCUGUUAUGGUGCGCUCUACCUAUCUUCUAUUUCUAACGAUAUAUAUAAUAUGCACAUAUUAUUCGUAACUAUACGUUCAUUAUAUUAUAAUAGCUGUAUAAAUACUAUCGAUUGUGAAAUCGAUAGUAAUUUAUCAGGCACGAACUUAUAAAUACAAACGUUUCAUUUUUUCACAUAAGUAUACAUAAGUAUAGAAUAUUCAAAUAAAAACAUUUUGUCGGGCACAAUACGGACUAUAUAUGGCGUAUUUUAAGUCUGAUAAGUAAGUGUAACACGAGUUUCGUGAUAUAUUAUAAGAUAAGACGAUUCCGAGUCACGAGUAACUAAAAUAUUAUUAUAAUAUCGUUGCAAUAGAUAUAGGUGGUGCAUAAUAUAGCCUAGAUGGGUGUAUUCAAUUUUUUUUUUUUUAAUAAACCUUUACUUUGUAGGAACUAUAAUUUUAUAGUAAUACCAAGUUCGAGUUCUAAUACACGUCGUUACGGAUUUGAUUGAAAAUCGUAGACAUUAAAGUGAUUUAGACUCGAUUUAUGGUUUAGUAAUUCAUAUACUUAGCGUGCAUAUUACCAAUAAUUUUAAAUAAUUUUGUACACAUCGAAUAAUGUAACAAAUUAUUUGCAGGAAUUGCCUGUUGGACAAUUCCUCAUCAAAAAUGAAUAUUCGAGAUUUUAUAAAUUAUACGUGUUACGUUUUUCUUGGAUUACUUUACUUAUCUAUAUUUUGUAAGUAUAUAAUUUUAAUAAAAUAAUAGUUAUUUAUACUAUCAUAGUCCACUUUUAUACACUAUACCUACUAAAGAAGGGUUGAAUGGAAGGUUAGGGGAUUUAUCUCUAGUUCUGGAGCAUUUGUAUAGUUGCCAACAUUUGCGUAGAUAUACCGUAUACCGUCUAUUAUUAUGAUAAUAAUAUUAGACCCAUAGAUACAAUUAAAUAAUUUGAAACUGAACAGGUUUAUUAAAAUGGUUUUGGCGUUCAAAAAACGAUUAUGAGUGUAAAGGGUUUAUUAGAAUGUCGAUAUUUAAAAAUAAUCUUCUAAUCCUGAAAUUAUAGAAAUAUACGAGAAAUUUUUUCUAGUAUACUUAUUUUAGAAUAUUAAAUGCACAAUCGAUUUAAACAAAAACUGAAUAUUAUUAUUAUUAUAAUAUGUUUACCGUAAUAAUAAUAUGAUAUUGUCGUAUUGGAAAAACGCUUUUGAUGAGACGAAGAAAAAACAAAAAUUGUGAUUACACAAAUUACAAUUACUAUUGGUACACCCAUCACACCUAUCAGCUAUAUAUACUAAACGGACAAUAAUCGGCCGUUUUAGAUAUUAGUUACGAAAAAACCGUACAGCUACAGAACGAUUCGGUCUUAAACUUCAAAACGAAAACAAUUUAUGGCCUCCACGCGAGUUAUCUGUGUGAGGUCCGGUUAUCUGCAACACGACGACGUCAAUUAAAUAUAAAAAUUAAAUAUAAAAAAAAAAAAAGUAUACAUACAUGUUAUGUAAUAAACAUAAACGGUAAAUCGGUUUUUAUGCCACGUUCUUCAACGAUAAAACAAAUAAUAUUCAAUUAUAAUUAAAAUAUUAUUUCAAUUAAUAUUUUAAUAAAUCGCGUUCGAUACCGCGAAUACGAAUGGUCUACUGCGAAAUCACUUUAACGGUUUUGACGGUUGGCAAAAUAAUUUUAAAAAAAGGUUUAUUUACCGCGAUAUAAAAGUACAAAAUUAUUAAUUUCGUCUAAAACUGACUUAAAUCGUCUUUUAAAACACACGUCUCGAAUAAAGUAGGUACGAAAAAAAAAACCACUAACUAAACUACCUGCUUUUAUAAAUCGGGAUGCACUGCGUCAAACGUUCCAGAAAAAAAAAAGUCAUCGAACAUUCCUUUACAAUCCAUUUGACCCUUUGAUUUAAUUAUUUUUAUUCAGACGGAGAGCGAAGGAAACCUCACUUCUAAUUUAACUAUUAAGGACGUCACGUGUACAAAUAUUAUUAUGUAGCAUUUUAACCACGGUAAUGCAAUUCGAUUUAAAAUGUGGCGUACCCUAUGCAGAACAUGGCCCGUUUUCAUCAAAACCUAAUUUGUAAAGAGACGUUUUCGUCAAAUAUUGUUUGGGAAUCGUGUACCUAAAUUACAGUGGCGGAUUUACAGGGGAAAGGGAUGGUGGAUUCCCCAGACACCGAUAUAAUUUCAAUAAAAUAUCGUCCAAAAAAGAGGCAUCUAUUAAUAGAAAAACCUUUUAAAAACAUAUGAUUUUUUAGGCCCCUUCUCAGAAAAAUAUUGAAAAUUCGCUACUUCUAAAAUUUUAUAGUAAUAUUAUAGUAUAAUUCGUUACAGUCAAUAAGUCAAUAAUAAAACAAUUAAAUUCGUUUUUUUAAAAAAAUCGUAUAAUACCUAUCCAUUAUAUGUAAAUAUUUCAAAAGAUCAUAGAAAAAUAUAAUACCUAAUACCAUACUAAUAAUAAUAAAUCGCUAACAAUAAUAUAAGCCGUUAUAGUCGACAAGUUUUCAUUUUUUAUAUUCAGAGUGGAGCGUAGAAGCUUAUAGUUUUACAAAGAUGUACAUUUUUUUUUUUUAUAACAUUUAUAUAACAAUAUUUAGCAUAAAAAUACAAAUAGUAAGGUACGCGGGGGCGGAGUGCUUAUUGCUGUCAAAAAAUCACUCAGUACAAUAAUCUGGUAUGUCUGUACACUACUUUUCCUCCAGAAAUCUUGCUCUGAUCGAAAAAUGAGAAAAUAAUUUUUGUGUAGCGUUUUGGAUUUAGCCCCCGAGUAAGAAAUCUUUUUUUUUGAUUUUUCGUAUAGUCUUCUGAUAAUAAUUUGAUAAAACCGGGAAACGUAUUAUGGGAAAAAACGAAAUUAACGGUUUCAUUAUUUCCGUACACAUUAUAUAUUUAAAUGUGCGUGUUAUUCGAUUGUACGCAACUCGGAAUCUGUUUUCGUUAACGACGGUUUUUCGUGUACCAAACGUCUUUGUCGGGAAACUUUACGAACAGUAUACGUACAGUGUAUACACACGGAAAAUAACAUUAUCCGCAAUUCGCAAACGCGCUGUCCACGUCACAUUUAUGUAACUAUACACAAUAUACGUAUGUAUACAUAAUUUUGAUAACUGGUCAACUCGGAUGUAGGUGUUGGCCGUUGCCUAUACCACAAUAAAUAUUAUAAAAUAUAUAGUUUAUAACACGGUUUUUUUAAAAUUUUUAUUCGUCUCGCGCGUAUACGAUAGGUGGUAAUAAUAGGUAAUAAUAGUAAUACCAUUACACCUGCGACUGCGACUGAAUUCAUAAACGUGACCGUGUAAUAAAAUGCGUUUUCAUAAGUGUAUAUAGGUAUGCACCUAUAAUAUUAUUCCAUUGCGUUAGGACAGGUAUUCGCCGAGAUUAUUUCACAGGAUUUAUUACACGCGUUACGACUGCAGUAUUCUAAUAUUAUAUCAAUAAUCGCGAGUUUUAAUCGCAGAACAAUCGGAAAUCGUAGCCGUUAUUAUGAUAUCAUUGCGUAUACGCGUGCCUAUAUAUAUAUAUAGGUGGAUACUUACCGGUCAAAUUUAAUAGAAUGAGUCGAACAGAAAAUGUGAUCGUAUUGUAUUAAUCGUCGUUCUAUUAUUACAUUGUCGUGUAUUCACCGUAAGAAUAUGAAAUAAUUAACGGCUACACUAUUAAUCCGUACUUAAUAAUUAGUAAUUGUCAGGAUUUUCUAACGAUCGGAUGUAAUUAAAAAAAUACUAUUACAAAAAACGUAUUAUAUUUAUUGUUUUUGUAGAAUUCAGUUGAUUUGCCCGUAUCCUUGUACCGCCUACACGCAGGCAGGUUAGGAUAGGUACACUUUUUUGUUUACCCUUCGGAGUGAUAAAUUUAUUCCCAAAUGCGAAUUCCAAAUUUAUUUACGAUUAUCAAAAUCGAAUGGUCGUUCAUUUCUUCUAUUUUUCUUCUCCUUCGUCUUCAUCCCAGCUAUUCGGUGUUGGAAAAAAAAGUCGAGCAUUAUGUAGUAUUUUUUUUUUUUAUAAAGGAAUUUUAAAUGCAAAUUUUGACAAAAAUCGUUUGAGUAAAAAAUUAUGUGCAACAGAUCUGGCUAGUGGUCUAUCCAAAUUUUUCAAUUUUUUUUUUUGUUUUGAACAAAUGAAUAUUGCAAAUUUAAGAUUGAUGGAACUUCAAAAUUGAGCGCACUGUCUUAGUUUCAGAAUUAUAGCUUUUUGAUGUUUUGAUAUUAUGUGGUUAUUAUAUGUUAAAUAACACAAUAUUGUCAAUAUUAUAGUAUGUCUGUCGUAGUAUAGUGGUGGUAUGUGCUUGUUGUCAACCCAGAGGUCGCGAGUUUAAACCCAAUUUCGAAUUUUUUUUUUUUUUAACUACGACGGGAAGUUAACGGGAAAAAACAAAUUCAUUUUUUUUCCAAAAAUAAAAUCGAGUGUAACGUAUUUUUUUUUUUAUGAGUUUUAAAAUCAAAUGUUUGACGAAAAUCCUAAUUAUUACGGCCAUUCAAUAAUUGUUUAAGCGAACUUCGCUCCGAAUCGUUUUUCGUUAUCAAAUGUUUAUCAUUGGUAACAGGUGUAAAUUAAAUAAUUGUAUGCAUCCCAUUUUCCUCGUUACCUACCUACAACAACAGUAGGCGCAUCCGUCCCCAGUUUCAUAGGAAAUAUUUUUAUUUUUUUUUUUAACACAUUUUUCGAAUUUAAAACAAUAAUAUCGACUUCUCAUAAUACCUACGUGUCAUUACGCGUAAUAAUGUUACGUUGUAUAAAUGUCAAGUGUGCCGUUGAAUUCCGUUUUCAAAUUAUGAAUAUUCUACAGGUCGCGUCGAAAGAUGCGGUAGACACGAGUCAUUUUAAAACGUAAUUACACGAUAGCAAUGGAACCGAUGACUAUAGUUCGCGAAUAAAUCGAAAACGAUUAUUAUCACGCAUACCUAAACACGACGAGCUUAACAAUUAUUUCGAUUUUCACGUGUGUGUGUUUAAAUUACGAAAACACAAAUUUGACUGGAAAUCCGUUUGCCGAUUAUAGUAUUACACCGUUGCACACUUGACGGUUCAUCGGAACCCGUGUACACGGCACUGACCAUCACUCAGACUGCCUCUCAAAACGCGUUUGCACAAUAUCGAAUGCACCUAAAUUGUAUAGUUAUGUUAUAGAUUUAUUGUAAUUUGUGUAUACGAGUUUAAUCCGAAAACGAGAAUUCGCAAUUGAUCACGUUUAGUAGUCGGUGCCGAUAACAAUAAAUACUUCAUUAUUACAAUAGAAAUCUUUAAUUAUUUUUGGAACCUCGUCGAACCUAUUAUAAAAAAAAUUCAAAAAAUGAUGCCAAUAUUCGGUAAAUAUAUAUGCAUUGGACAAAUUGUGUUUUACAGUUUACGUCACGGUUAUUCGUCGAUUCGUUUCUACGCAUAUUUUUGUACGCAUCUUGUUCGUAUCGUUGAAUAAUAAUUUCCAGAUAUUUAAAAUAUUGUCCGUCCGCUCAUAAGAAUAUGUUUUUACAUUUAGGCCCGAAAAUGUUAUACUUCGUGAUGAUUUUAAUAUAAAACUUCAGUAACAGAAUAUGCGAGUAGUAAAUUAUUAAUUGCAAAAAACAUAUAAUAUUAUUGAAAUUUAGUCGAAAUUAUUGUUCAUAUACAGUGUACGUGUUACGCUUAAAAAAAAAAAAAAAAAAAAAAUCGUGUUACCUAUUGUCUUCGUCGUUCACACUAUAAUAUUAUUAUUAUACUUGAACUGUUCUGUCAUUCAAAAUAAUAUACAGGUUUGAAAAUUUAAAAAAUCGCAUUGUCACCGCUUUCCGAACACAAAACAUAUACCUGUAUAGUACGCGACUAUAAUGUACCUACCUGCGACCUGCCUGUUUAUGAAUCAAUAUUGUAAUUUACUGAAUUAUGCAAUUAUAAUUUUUUUACAUUUACAAACCGUUGUGGUGCGCAUCAUAUCUAAUAUAGCAAUGCCAACAACACAAUCUAGGGAAAAUACCUUCGUGCGAUGAAUUUCACGUGGCUAUACUUCAGCGGCCAAUGUAAAGUUUUUAUGUUACAGACAAAACUGUCGUGUAAAUUAAUUCUUUUAUAAUACCUAAUGCGGCAACUAUAAGCUCGAGUAACAAACUAAUUGAUUUUCUACAUAUAUUAUCGCGGUUAGAAAUGUUACUUAAGAAUUAAACAUCGGUUCGUUCAAAUUUUACAGUUUGAUAAAUAUUAUAUAAUCAUACUAUUUAUACGUAUUACGUACGUAAUUAUUCGUUGUUAUUACACGUGUAGUAUUUUUUUUUCCCCGUAGUAAUCUCUGGGGUUUUAUUAAAUCCAGUUAUUAAAUUUAAAAACGCCAUAAAUGAAAAACUGACGAAUUUACCGUUUUAAAAAUUUCAUUAUUUUAUAUUUUUUA
Non-coding RNA from Cinara cedri, 14981 nucleotides. Lineage: Eukaryota; Metazoa; Arthropoda; Insecta; Hemiptera; Aphididae. The record is from the annotation of a GenBank genome assembly.